UACGGCCAUGUCAUGUUAAAACAGCAGUUCCCAUAUGAUCACCAAAGUUAAGCAAUUCCAAACCUGGUUAGUACCUAGAUGGGUGACUACUUGGGAAUACCAAGUGCUGUAAG
Acanthosepion pharaonis is the source of this 113-nucleotide non-coding RNA. The record is from the annotation of a GenBank genome assembly. NCBI's taxonomy places the organism in Eukaryota, Metazoa, Mollusca, Cephalopoda, Sepiida, Sepiidae.